Molecule: transfer RNA, 75 nt
Filed under: Candidatus Babeliales bacterium
Lineage: Bacteria; Candidatus Babeliae; Candidatus Babeliales
Description: tRNA-Phe
Rfam family: tRNA
About the family: Transfer RNA (tRNA) molecules are approximately 80 nucleotides in length.
Source: RNAcentral
GCCGCGGUAGCUCAGUGGUAGAGCAUCUGCCUGAAGAGCAGAGUGUCGGUGGUUCGAUCCCAUCUCGCGGCACCA